UGAAUAUGAGCGCUGCGUUCGUUUCGAGGACGACUUCAGAGAUAGUCUACGAGUGUUGAUAGCUCCAGAGAGGGAGUGAGAUUUUGCUGCUUUAGUGGAUAAGGUGAAGAUUGCCAAAAAGUGAAGCGUACAGAACAAAAAAACCGUGAGAAGGAUAAAGGUAGGAACAAAAGGGAUUUGGAGCCCUAAAGUUCUUUUUUGAGGCAUA
This 208-nucleotide long non-coding RNA is filed under the name Gossypium barbadense (sea-island cotton). RNAcentral's name for it is "long non-coding RNA (GBAR_LNC023392)". The record is from RNAcentral. Lineage: Eukaryota; Viridiplantae; Streptophyta; Magnoliopsida; Malvales; Malvaceae.